CGCUGGUGGCGAGCAUCGAGAGGCUAGUCGAAGCCAGAUCCAGUCUGCGCACCUGUUCCUAGAGCUCGCUUCCUGGAUAGGCAUAGGACGCUUUGACGGGCCUGAGACGAUCGCUCAGGCGCGGGAGAGCUACCCCGAGCUCAGUUUCAGCGAGGCCAUCACCGUGGCAGAGACCAUCUCCGCAACGCCACUAAUCCGGGGUCAAUUCGCGACGAUCGGAGGCAAGCCAGCCGCCUGCAUUGUUGAGGCGGCAAUCGACGCGGUUCGGACCGGGCUGGGCGCCGUCUCGGAGGAAUCUCUACGCGCGCUCUUCCCGACGUAUCGGAUUCGGCAGGACCCAGGGAUCAACCCGAAUACUGACUGGGCGACU
RNAcentral lists this unclassified non-coding RNA (370 nucleotides) under uncultured fungus. RNAcentral's name for it is "sequence contains ITS1". Lineage: Eukaryota; Fungi. The record is from RNAcentral.